RNAcentral lists this small nucleolar RNA (108 nucleotides) under Phlebiopsis gigantea 11061_1 CR5-6. Its description in RNAcentral is "Small nucleolar RNA Z13/snr52". It matches the Rfam family "Small nucleolar RNA Z13/snr52". From Rfam's summary of the family: Z13 or snr52 is a member of the C/D class of snoRNA which contain the C (UGAUGA) and D (CUGA) box motifs. Lineage: Eukaryota; Fungi; Basidiomycota; Agaricomycetes; Polyporales; Phanerochaetaceae. The record is from Rfam by way of RNAcentral.
CAUAUCCACAAGAUGCAAUCAUUGCGGAUGUAAAUUGUCGAAAGACAGUAGUAUCCGAGAGCGCAAAACCGUGUGGAUUCUUCCGUUGCCUUCCUUCUGACUCUGUCA